AUUGAACGCUGGCGGCAUGCUUUACACAUGCAAGUCGAACGGCAGCACAGCAGAGGUAACUCUGUGGGUGGCGAGUGGCGAACGGGUGAGUAAUACAUCGGAACGUACCCUGUUGUGGGGGAUAACUACGCGAAAGCGUAGCUAAUACCGCAUACGCCCUGAGGGGGAAAGCGGGGGACCCUAAAUAGAGCGCACUGGGGAGUGCGUUGUAUUUAGGGCCUCGCGCAAUAGGAGCGGCCGAUGUCGGAUUAGCUAGUUGGUGAGGUAAAGGCUUACCAAGGCGACGAUCCGUAGCUGGUCUGAGAGGAUGAUCAGCCACACUGGGACUGAGACACGGCCCAGACUCCUACGGGAGGCAGCAGUGGGGAAUUUUGGACAAUGGGGGCAACCCUGAUCCAGCCAUGCCGCGUGAGUGAAGAAGGCCU
This 425-nucleotide ribosomal RNA is filed under the name uncultured bacterium. RNAcentral describes it as "bacterial SSU rRNA". It matches the Rfam family "Bacterial small subunit ribosomal RNA", at positions 30 to 417 of the family's 1533-position model. The record is from RNAcentral.